Molecule: long non-coding RNA, 1008 nt
Filed under: Gouania willdenowi (blunt-snouted clingfish)
Lineage: Eukaryota; Metazoa; Chordata; Actinopteri; Blenniiformes; Gobiesocidae
Description: lncRNA (ENSGWIG00000006516.1)
Source: RNAcentral
AUGGCGGAAGAGCAGGCAGCUGAUAAUACUCAAGCAAAUCCCACCUCUCCUGUACCCACUGGCCUUCCUAUUAACUGGGGUCUCAUUACUGGCCCUGUUCCCGAGCCAGUUUUCCCACAGAGUUCAACUGUGUUUGUACUACAGCCAGAGAAUAAGGGCAGAGGGAGACCGGCCACAGUGGAACAGAUAUCUUCUGAUGUUCCUCUCAGACCCAGACCAAAGGGAAAAGGACAAUCUUCCUGGCGAACAGGUGCUUGCAAGGAUUUAAGCAGCAGUGAUGAAGAGGAGGAGGAGGUGGAAGUACAAGUUCAGUUGGAGAUCCACAGUCCUCCGGCUGAAGCAAAAGCAGAGAACGAUAAAGAUAAAACUAACAAUGAAGACAGUCCGGCUUUUUUUUACACUGGAAAGCCAUAUGGCCUCGGAGAAGGUACCAGUCAAGAGAGUCUGCUGUCAGACAACUCAAACAGCAGUAAGGACGUUCCUCCUCCUCCUCCUCCUCAACAAUUAGUCCCUUCUUCCGUGACUACCUCUGCUACAACAUCACCAUCCACUGCCUCAUCAUCAACAAGACGCUGGGCCCCUCCAAAGGGCUUCUGGAGAGUAGCACGCCCAGAAACACUGCUUCUCAAUGGGGUUGGCCCACACGACAUGCCAUCCAGUUUACCCGUAAUAGAUUACACACAGAUUCAAGAUUCUCUGAUAAAAACAAAGACCUAUGAAGCUGAAAAAAGACAUGAUAAAAAUAUUCCAGUGAGUGUUGAUGAUACAUCCACAGAGAUAAAGCCCUCGGGCAGUGUGGAGUGCUGCCUGGAUGGUUAUGAGCAGAAACUGGUGAAUACAGCAGAGUCAGAGACCAACAUCAACGCUAUGGCUUCUCAAAGUCUUCUACGCUCUGCUGAAGAUAAAGAGACGGUAAAGGACAGGGCCUAUUCAAAGCUGAGGGAACGACAGAAAUACUUGAAUGAAGACAGAGAAGAGCGUGGAGGUGAAAGUGAAAACACCCCACUA